RNAcentral lists this signal recognition particle RNA (295 nucleotides) under Saimiri boliviensis boliviensis (Bolivian squirrel monkey). RNAcentral's name for it is "Metazoan signal recognition particle RNA (ENSSBOG00000001187.1)". It matches the Rfam family "Metazoan signal recognition particle RNA". From Rfam's summary of the family: The signal recognition particle (SRP) is a universally conserved ribonucleoprotein. It is involved in the co-translational targeting of proteins to membranes. The eukaryotic SRP consists of a 300-nucleotide 7S RNA and six proteins: SRPs 72, 68, 54, 19, 14, and 9. Lineage: Eukaryota; Metazoa; Chordata; Mammalia; Primates; Cebidae. The record is from RNAcentral.
GCUGGGUGGGUACAGUGGCAGACACCUAGAGUUCCAGUUACUUGGGAGGCUGAGGCAGAAGUUUCACUUGAGUCUAGGAAUUCUGGGCUGUAGUGUGCUACACCAAUUGUGUGUCCACAAUAAAUUCAACAUCAAUAUGGUGACCAUCUGGGAGCAGGGGACCACCAGGUUGCCUAAGAAUGGGUGAACUGGCCCAGGUCAGAAAUGAAGCAGGUUAAAACUGCAGUGCUGGGGUAUGGUGGCUCUCAUCUGUAAUCCCAGCACUUUAGGAGGCUAAGAUGGGAUGACUGCUUGA